GACGAACGCUGGCGGCGUGCUUAACACAUGCAAGUCGAACGGAAAGGCCCUGCUUUUGUGGGGUGCUCGAGUGGCGAACGGGUGAGUAACACGUGAGUAACCUGCCCUUGACUUUGGGAUAACUUCAGGAAACUGGGGCUAAUACCGGAUAGGAGCUCCUGCUGCAUGGUGGGGGUUGGAAAGUUUCGGCGGUUGGGGAUGGACUCGCGGCUUAUCAGCUUGUUGGUGGGGUAGUGGCUUACCAAGGCUUUGACGGGUAGCCGGCCUGAGAGGGUGACCGGCCACAUUGGGACAGAGAUACGGCCCAGACUCCUACGGGGGGCAGCAGUGGGGAAUAUUGCACAAUGGGCGGAAGCCUGAUGCAGCAACGCCGCGUGCGGGAUGACGGCCUUCGGGUUGUAAACCGCUUUCGCCUGUGACGAAGCGUGAGUGACGGUAAUGGGUAAAGAAGCACCGGCUAACUACGUG
Molecule: ribosomal RNA, 468 nt
Filed under: uncultured bacterium
Lineage: Bacteria
Description: partial 16S ribosomal RNA
Rfam family: Bacterial small subunit ribosomal RNA
Source: RNAcentral